UCUCUCUAUUUCUCCGCGUGUAAGAUGGCUGCAAGAUAGGAAGCCAAAAACACAUCUGCUUUGAAGUCCCAGAUUGAAUAGCUACAACAGGAGAGGGAUGGAUUUCAAAGGAUGGUGAUUGGAAACCAGUUACUAUAAGGUGAUCUGCUGAUGGUAUGAGUGGAGAUCUACUAGGACUGCUUCGGUUUCUUUAUUACUUGGUUUGGUGAAGAAAUGUACUUGCCUUCUUUUUCUUUAUGACUUGGUGAUUCAAGCAUUUGUAUCUUUUGGGUAUUUGAUAGAAUGAUUUUAUGUAAAAUGUAUGUUUUAUAAAUUUAAUGUAAUAUUAAUUUUAUUUAUGAA
Camelina sativa (false flax) is the source of this 342-nucleotide non-coding RNA. Lineage: Eukaryota; Viridiplantae; Streptophyta; Magnoliopsida; Brassicales; Brassicaceae. The record is from RefSeq and is a predicted model, not a curated record.